GGCGUUCUUUGACAAGAACAACGCCAAGGGCAGGGAGUACCACGCCUUGGAGGCCAGAGGUGGACAGAGUAUGGUUCCUGCUGACUCAGAUGGGCAUUCCUCCCAGACCCCUCCUCAGAAACUGGAGAUAAUUGUGAAGGUAGAGGGCAAAGCCGUGGAAGAACCAAGAAA
Long non-coding RNA from Etheostoma spectabile (orangethroat darter), 171 nucleotides. RefSeq lists it as uncharacterized. The record is from RefSeq and is a predicted model, not a curated record. The transcript is spliced from 2 exons. Lineage: Eukaryota; Metazoa; Chordata; Actinopteri; Perciformes; Percidae.